GAGCGUGGCCAAGUUUACACGUGAAAACACAGUCACCGGCUCCUUCUAGUCCCCUGCUACUGCACUGCUGCUGCUGAUGGAGCGGGCUGACUCUGGAGUUAGGCUGCUUGCAGCUGAUGAGAGUCCGCCAUCCCUGCGACUGCAGACAAGCUGCCGAGAUCUCGCAACUUUGUGUGCUUCUGAGUGGGAAGGAGUAAGAGUGCCCCUAACCUCUGCCUCCGGGAACUGCUGGAGGACGAAUGGAGCAGUUAGCACCAGAGGCAUCUAAGAGACGCCAGUGCCUGUUCCACCUACUACCCGACCACCAACUACUAUCACCUAUAAUUACUAUACAAUAGAGUUGAUCUGGCUACUUAGGGCCUGUGACUAUGCUGAUUCCUGCCAAGUAAUAAGACCAAAUAGUGUGUGUGACCUUUAUAAUGCCAUUCCUUCUUAACUGGACGACUUUCUAUCACCCUUGCACUACCUGAAGGACAAAAUAGGACACUUCUUGUGACCCGCUAGUGUCCACCAGUGAGGCCAUGUCACCCUGCUCCGUGUUACCCACAGCGGAGCGUGACACACACCAAAUAUUGGAUCGCCUGGAUGGAAAAGUUAACUUUACUUUGAGUCAACACGAUGCAGUAUCUACUGACAACUGACAGUGAAAUAAAAAUCAAGUGGAUUGAGGAGGUAUACAGUAGACUGGGAAGAAGAAUUUGGAAAAUCACUGGGAAAGCAUUAUUCUAAGAACAAUCUUAACAUGACCUGCAAUGGUACUUCCGGGCACAUGGUUAGUCAACUGCUAGACGGUUCACACCCAUUAGCUUUGCAAAUGUAACUACUUAAAUCUC
Molecule: long non-coding RNA, 833 nt
Organism: Apodemus sylvaticus (European woodmouse)
Lineage: Eukaryota; Metazoa; Chordata; Mammalia; Rodentia; Muridae
Exons: 2
Source: RefSeq, a predicted model, not a curated record